AUCNGGCUACCAUGCAAGUCGAGGGGCAGCAUUUCAGUUUGCUUGCAAACUGGAGAUGGCGACCGGCGCACGGGUGAGUAACACGUAUCCAACCUGCCGAUAACUCGGGGAUAGCCUUUCGAAAGAAAGAUUAAUACCCGAUGGNAUAAUCAGACCGCAUGGUCUUAUUAUUAAAGAAUUUCGGUUAUCGAUGGGGAUGCGUUCCAUUAGGCAGUUGGUGAGGUAACGGCUCACCAAACCUUCGAUGGAUAGGGGUUCUGAGAGGAAGGUCCCCCACAUUGGAACUGAGACACGGUCCAAACUCCUACGGGAGGCAGCAGUGAGGAAUAUUGGUCAAUGGGCGCAGGCCUGAACCAGCCAAGUAGCGUGAAGGAUGACUGCCCUAUGGGUUGUAAACUUCUUUUAUAUGGGAAUAAAGUUUUCCACGUGUGGAAUUUUGUAUGUACCAUAUGAAUAAGGAUCGGCUAACUCCGUGCCAGCAGCCGCGGUAAUACGGAGGAUCCGAGCGUUAUCCGGAUUUAUUGGGUUUAAAGGGAGCGUAGGUGGACAGUUAAGUCAGUUGUGAAAGUUUGCGGCUCAACCGUAAAAUUGCAGUUGAUACUGGCUGUCUUGAGUACAGUAGAGGUGGGCGGAAUUCGUGGUGUAGCGGUGAAAUGCUUAGAUAUCACGAAGAACUCCGAUUGCGAAGGCAGCUCACUGGACUGCAACUGACACUGAUGCUCGAAAGUGUGGGUAUCAAACAGGAUUAGAUACCCUGGUAGUCCACACAGUAAACGAUGAAUACUCGCUGUUUGCGAUAUACAGUAAGCGGCCAAGCGAAAGCAUUAAGUAUUCCACCUGGGGAGUACGCCGGCAACGGUGAAACUCAAAGGAAUUGACGGGGGCCCGCACAAGCGGAGGAACAUGUGGUUUAAUUCGAUGAUACGCGAGGAACCUUACCCGGGCUUAAAUUGCAUUUGAAUANUNUGGAAACAGNUUAGCCGCAAGGCAAAUGUGAAGGUGCUGCAUGGUUGUCGUCAGCUCGUGCCGUGAGGUGUCGGCUUAAGUGCCAUAACGAGCGCAACCCUUAUCUUUAGUUACUAACAGGUCAUGCUGAGGACUCUAGAGAGACUGCCGUCGUAAGAUGUGAGGAAGGUGGGGAUGACGUCAAAUCAGCACGGCCCUUACGUCCGGGGCUACACACGUGUUACAAUGGGGGGUACAGAAGGCAGCUACCUGGUGACAGGAUGCUAAUCCCAAAAGCCUCUCUCAGUUCGGAUCGAAGUCUGCAACCCGACUUCGUGAAGCUGGAUUCGCUAGUAAUCGCGCAUCAGCCAUGGCGCGGUGAAUACGUUCCCGGGCCUUGUACACACCGCCCGUCAAGCCAUGAAAGCCGGGGGUACCUGAAGUACGAACCGCAAGGAGCUCCUAGG
Molecule: ribosomal RNA, 1412 nt
Filed under: bacterium NLAE-zl-P353
Lineage: Bacteria
Also listed under: 1 other name
Description: bacterial SSU rRNA
Rfam family: Bacterial small subunit ribosomal RNA
Source: RNAcentral